Macaca mulatta (Rhesus monkey) is the source of this 810-nucleotide non-coding RNA. NCBI's taxonomy places the organism in Eukaryota, Metazoa, Chordata, Mammalia, Primates, Cercopithecidae. The record is from RefSeq and is a predicted model, not a curated record.
GACUAGUCUUCAGGACCCAGCUGAAGGUGGGACAUGAGGUGGAGCGGGGGAGGGGUGAAUCAUAUGCCUCACACCCCAUUUGUGAGAGUUUGGGGCAUCUCCAAACUAGAGCUUUCCUAGGUGAUGUGUCUACCUUCCUUUUAGGUCCUGCACUACAUAGGGACUGCCUAAUUCCUACCUGUGCCCUUCGCUCCUUCCCACAGCCUGGCCCAAGGAUGCUUCCUCCUAGCUCUCCUCACCCUCCCUGAAGGCCUCAACCUCACAGCUUUUGCCUAUCUGGCCAGUCCCCUCCUGCGAUGCUACAGUCCAGAACCUUACACAACACAUCUCUGGGACUACUGGUGCUGUAACCUCCCUGCCUCCUGGUCACCCUCCUUCCAGUCUACAAGGCACCCUGCGACAUAACUGUAUUCUAAGAAAGCCUCCUUCAUUUUGUCUGUCAUCUGCCUUCUUCAGAAUCCACAGGCUCCCUAUGGCCAUGCCAAAAGCAUGGCUUUCUAAACUAAGAGGGGAUUUGAGAAAUGAUUCAGCUGGACUCCCUUGUUUCACAGAUGAAGAAUCUGACGCUCAGAAAAGAUGCGUGACUUGCCCAGGGCGGAGCCAAAACUGUAGUGAGGCCUCUACGUGAUGAGAACUUACUAUCCAUCCUAACUCUCUUGCACAUCACAAUACAUGCAGAGACUGCAUAUACAUGCUUAACUUCUCUGACCUUUGUAACAUGGGAAUAAUAAUCUUUAAUUUGGGGAAAAUGUUGUGAGGAUAGAAUGAAACUGUUGUUUAUCAAUUGCUAAAGGCUGUAGAGAACAUUGA